Molecule: RNA transcript, 1821 nt
Organism: Silurus meridionalis
Lineage: Eukaryota; Metazoa; Chordata; Actinopteri; Siluriformes; Siluridae
Exons: 11
Source: RefSeq, a predicted model, not a curated record
UUCUUGCAUUCUCCAUUUUCUUCACAUCGCACUUGCUCCACUAAUCCACUAUAAUGUCUUCCUCCUACUCAUUGUCCUCUUCCAGGAUGUCUGGUCUCCAGGCAGGUGGAGGUGGUGGUGGAGCCAGAUUAGGGCUGGGUGGUGCUGGAGGAAGCCUCGGCCUUGGUUUUGGCCUGGGAGGUGGUGCUGGUGCUGGGGCAGGGUUUGGUCUAGGUCUGGGCAGUGGACUUGGUCUGGGCAGUGGACUUGGCCUUGGCUCUGGAUAUGGUUUAGGCUCUGGAUAUGGUUUAGGCUCUGGAUAUGGUUUAGGCUCUGGAUAUGGAGCAGGACUGGGCUUGGGUGCAGGUGGUGCAGGAUACGCAAUGGGCGGUGGCGGAGGUGCUGGGGCACUAGUUGCAAGUCCGGCUUUUGCCAUGGGUCGCACUAUCGCAGCUGGUGGACUGACUGCAGGAUCUGCUCUGGCUGGUGGCCAUGCUAUGGGGGCAGUUGUGGCACCUAUGUGGUCUCGUGCAGCUGAGAAAAAUACGUUGUCCAGUCUGAACGACCGCUUCUCUGUGUACAUGGCCAAAGUGCGUUCACUGCAACAGGAGAAUGCUGCACUGGAGGCUAAGCUGUCCCAACUGACUGGUGGCACUGACAUGUCCCCAGAAUCGUCCAGCACCACUACAUUGGAAUAUGAGAACCAGCUGAAUGAGUAUCGCACCACACUGCAGAACCUAACCCUUGACACCCUCAAACUGGAGAUAGAGCUAGACAAUGUGCGUGGCACCGCCCAUGAGGUUAAGGCAAAGCUUGACUUUGAACAAGGGGUCAGGUUCCAGCUUGACUCUGACAUUGCUGCCAUGAAAAAGGACAUUGAAGCAGCAUCUGACCUCAGAGUUGAUUUGGAUGCCAAAUACUCCAGCCUUAAGAACGAGCUGGGCUUUGUCACCAAAACACAGGAAGAGGAGCUUGCUUCUCUGCAGUCCAAACUGGGCACAACGACCCUCGACACCUCUGUCUCUAUGAUUGAAGUGGACACUGGCAAGUCUUUUGACAUCUCUUCAGCGCUUAACAAGAUGCGAAUGGAGUAUGAGAAAUCUGUCCAGCAGAACAGAGAGGAAGCCGAAGCCUACUACAAACUCAAGAUGGAUGAAAUACAGACUGCUAACGCUAGGAGCUCAGAAGCAGUGUCAUCGACCAAAGCCGAAAUUACAGCAGCUAGGAAGGAGCUACAGGCACUCGGGUUAGAGUUGCAGGGUCUUAUGACACAAAACAUGUCCCUGGAGCAGAGCCUGGGAGAGGCUAAUGCCCAGUCCAGCGUUGGUGUGUCUGAGUACCAGGCCCAGAUCUCCAGCCUUACAUCCGCCAUCGAGGCAGCUAAAGCUGACCUUCACAAACAGAUUCUGGCCUACCAAGAGCUGCUCGACAUCAAACUCGCUCUAGAUGUGGAAAUCGCCACCUACAGAAAACUCCUAGAGGGAGAUGACUUCAAACUGCCAGAAUUUACAGAGUCCUCCUACACUUUCACAGGGAGUGCCCCGCCCAAAACCAGCACGCCCCAGGAUGUCUCUGUGGAAAUACACACUAGAUACAUCACCAAAGGAAAGAGGAUUGAGGAUGCAUCAAAGCCAUAAACAAAAAUGAGUAUGAGUACUUGUUUUUUAGCUGGUGGAGGUGGAAUUCAAGUCAAAGAGAUCAUCACAGAGCGCACAGAGACUUCAGUCAUCAGUGAUGCAGACACUGAAUCCUCUUAAAUGCCAAGGAAUUGCCUGAGAGUUUGAGUCAUGGCCAACAAACUCCUGUUAAAUUAGUUUUAAUAAAGCUGCAAUUAUAUAUAUA